Molecule: transfer RNA, 75 nt
Filed under: Candidatus Zambryskibacteria bacterium RIFCSPHIGHO2_01_FULL_46_30
Lineage: Bacteria; Candidatus Zambryskiibacteriota
Also listed under: 1 other name
Description: tRNA-Arg
Rfam family: tRNA
About the family: Transfer RNA (tRNA) molecules are approximately 80 nucleotides in length. Their secondary structure includes four short double-helical elements and three loops (D, anti-codon, and T loops).
Source: RNAcentral
GCCCCCGUAGUUUAAUGGAUAGAAUGCUAGAUUGCGGAUCUGGCGAUCCAGGUCCGAUUCCUGGCGGGAGCACCA